RNAcentral lists this non-coding RNA (30 nucleotides) under Drosophila melanogaster (fruit fly). RNAcentral also lists the same sequence under 4 other names. The record is from RNAcentral. Lineage: Eukaryota; Metazoa; Arthropoda; Insecta; Diptera; Drosophilidae.
GACCUCAAAUCAGGUAGGACUACCCGCUGA